UGAGAGGCACACCAACACCAGCAGAUGAGUCUCCGUUUAAUACUUGAGAUAUUAUAACAGUAAGUUAUAGCUCCAGAAGUCAGUCACCAGCAGCAGAUGUCACACAGUUAUAAAACGGGAAACUUGAAGAAUAAGCUCCAGAAGUCAGCAGCAGCAGCAGACGUCACACAGCCAUAAUGCGAGAAGCUUGAAGAAUAAUGUGGUAGUGGUUUGGAUACAUAUGACAUAUUUCACCUUCAGUUUAGAAUUGAAGUUUGUUUAUAUUGGCAGGUGGUAACUCGGAGCUCUUUGUUCCAGUUAUGGCUCCGAUAGUCUUCCAGCAGCAGCAAAUGUUACACAGUCCUAUAGAGGCAAACUUGAAGUAUGAGGUAAUAGUGUUUUGCAUAGAAUGGC
This is a long non-coding RNA of Schistocerca americana (American grasshopper), 393 nucleotides long. RefSeq lists it as uncharacterized. The transcript is spliced from 3 exons. The record is from RefSeq and is a predicted model, not a curated record. Lineage: Eukaryota; Metazoa; Arthropoda; Insecta; Orthoptera; Acrididae.